UGGGGAAUAUUGCACAAUGGGCGAAAGCCUGAUGCAGCAACGCCGCGUGAGUGACGAAGGUCUUCGGAUUGUAAAGCUCUGUCUUUUGGGACGAUAAUGACGGUACCAAAGGAGGAAGCCACGGCUAACUACGUGCCAGCAGCCGCGGUAAUACGUAGGUGGCGAGCGUUGUCCGGAUUUACUGGGCGUAAAGGGUGCGUAGGCGGAUGUUUAAGUGAGAUGUGAAAUACCCGGGCUUAACUUGGGUGCUGCAUUUCAAACUGGAUAUCUAGAGUGCAGGAGAGGAGAAUGGAAUUCCUAGUGUAGCGGUGAAAUGCGUAGAGAUUAGGAAGAACACCAGUGGCGAAGGCGAUUCUCUGGACUGUAACUGACGCUGAGGCACGAAAGCGUGGGUAGCAAACAGGAUUAGAUACCCUGGUAGUCCACGCCGUAAACGAUGAGUACUAGGUGUAGGAGGUAUCGACCCCUUCUGUGUCGCAGUAAACACAUUAAGUACUCCGCCCUGGGAAGUACGAUCGCAAGAUUAAAACUCUAAGUGAAUUGA
RNAcentral lists this ribosomal RNA (544 nucleotides) under uncultured bacterium. Its description in RNAcentral is "partial 16S ribosomal RNA". It matches the Rfam family "Bacterial small subunit ribosomal RNA", at positions 355 to 913 of the family's 1533-position model. The record is from RNAcentral.